This 811-nucleotide ribosomal RNA is filed under the name uncultured bacterium. Its description in RNAcentral is "bacterial SSU rRNA". It matches the Rfam family "Bacterial small subunit ribosomal RNA", at positions 28 to 776 of the family's 1533-position model. The record is from RNAcentral.
AUUGAACGCUGGCGGCAGGCUUAACACAUGCAAGUCGAACGAUGAAACCUAGCUUGCUAGGUGGAUUAGUGGCGGACGGGUGAGUACAACUUAGGAAUCUACCUAUUAGCGGGGGAUAGCUCGGGGAUACUCGAAUUAAUACCGCAUACUCCUUACGAGGGAAAGGGGCCUGACCACUAAAUUUAAUUUAUAGUGUAUUUUAUUUACAAUAAUAUAAUUAAGUUAAAUUUAGUGGUCAGGUCUCACUAAUAGAUGAGCCUAAGCAAGAUUAGCUAGUUGGUGGGGUAAAAGCCUACCAAGGCGACGAUCUUUAGCUGGUCUGAGAGGAUGAUCAGCCACACUGGGACCGAGACACGGCCCAGACUCCUACGGGAGGCAGCAGUGGGGAAUAUUGGACAAUGGGGGAAACCCUGAUCCAGCCAUGCCGCGUGUGUGAAGAAGGCCUUUUGGUUGUAAAGCACUUUAAGCAGUGAGGAAAAGCUAGAUGUUAAUACCAUCUAGCCCUGACGUUAACUGCAGAAUAAGCACCGGCUAACUCUGUGCCAGCAGCCGCGGUAAUACAGAGGGUGCAAGCGUUAAUCGGAAUUACUGGGCGUAAAGAGAACGUAGGUGGUCAAUUAAGUCAAAUGUGAAAUCCCUGAGCUCAACUUAGGAACUGCAUUUGAUACUGGUUGACUAGAGUAGGUGAGAGGAGAGUAGAAUUCCAGGUGUAGCGGUGAAAUGCGUAGAUAUCUGGAGGAAUACCGAUGGCGAAAGCAGCUCUCUGGCAUCAUACUGACACUGAGGUUCGAAAGCGUGGGUAGCAAACGGG